RNAcentral lists this transfer RNA (66 nucleotides) under Menacanthus cornutus. RNAcentral describes it as "tRNA-Phe". Lineage: Eukaryota; Metazoa; Arthropoda; Insecta; Psocodea; Menoponidae. The record is from RNAcentral.
GCUUACUGGUAGCUUAAAAUAUAAAGCGUAGUGUUGAAGCCACUAAGAAAGUUCUACUCCUAAGCA